GACGGAGGAUGCAAGCGUUAUCCGGAAUGAUUGGGCGUAAAGCGUCCGCAGGUGGCAGUUCAAGUCUGCUGUCAAAGACCGGGGCUUAACUUCGGAAAGGCAGUGGAAACUGAACAGCUAGAGUAUGGUAGGGGCAGAGGGAAUUCCUGGUGUAGCGGUGAAAUGCGUAGAGAUCAGGAAGAACAUCGGUGGCGAAGGCGCUCAUCUGGCCCGAUACUGACGCUGAGGCGCGAAAGCUAGGGUAGCGAACGGG
RNAcentral lists this ribosomal RNA (253 nucleotides) under uncultured bacterium. RNAcentral's name for it is "partial 16S ribosomal RNA". It matches the Rfam family "Bacterial small subunit ribosomal RNA", at positions 524 to 776 of the family's 1533-position model. The record is from RNAcentral.